AUAUGAAAAUAUGUUAUAUUUACACACAAUUUUUUCGUUAAGACUCAAUGUAGUAUUUUCCCAAGAUAUCUCUGUCACUGCAGAAUUGGGCAGAAUCAAGCCCAUUUGAUCCAUAGAAUAACUGGGCCAUGGACAAGGGUUAGGUCAUAGAGUUAAAGAAAAUACAAAUUGGAGAAUUCCAGAAUUUAGAAGAGGGAUACAGAUGUUACUAAGGAAAGAAUUCUAGGAUAUAAGAACUAAACACUGGUCCUUAUAGGAUCAGCUACACAAGCAGCAGGGGUGUCUCUUGGUUCAUAAGAGAUGGUUUAUAAAUAACACCUACUAUUUUGAACAGAAAAUUUCAAGAGGCAACCCAAUUCCGUCAUUCCAACUGGAAGAAGUAUGGGGACAGAAACAGGAUCUAACACACAUUUGCAAAAAAGCAUGCUGUAUAAAAUGGACUGAAAACAGACAGAAGUGGAAACAGGGAGUCCUGGUCUUCUAAAGUUGAGGCCAGCAUGCUGAAGAAAAAUAUUAAACUAUGUAUAACCCUGUGUCAACAUAUGAUGCUACUGGGAAUGAACAGGAUUUUGAAAAGACAGAAAAAAGAAGAGAAUGGAUGGGAGAACGAAACCAUGUCCUUCUAGAUCAGAACGAAAUCAAUCCUGCCACCCACAUCUGUGCUGCUUAACUACACUCGUGAGAAGAACACUGAACGCUUUUCGGAAUGGCAAUAGAGUCUACGAGAUGAACGGGCAAGACUUACGGUGACACUCCCUCCUUAGAAAACACACACACACACACACACACACACACACACACACACACA
Molecule: long non-coding RNA, 808 nt
Organism: Panthera uncia (snow leopard)
Lineage: Eukaryota; Metazoa; Chordata; Mammalia; Carnivora; Felidae
Exons: 5
Source: RefSeq, a predicted model, not a curated record